AAGGUUUCCUGGGGAAGGCUCGUCCGCCCAGGGUAAGUCGGGACCUAAGCCGAGGCCGUAAAGGCGUAGGCGAUGGACAAUCGGUGGAAAUUCCGAUACCACCCGGAAGCCGCUUGCAGCGAUGGGGAACACAGGAGGGUAGGCCGAGCGGGCCGUUGGUCGUGCCCGUCCAAGCCGGUAGGGCGGUAGAGAGGCAAAUCCCUCUACCAGAAAGCCCGAGAAGCGAGUGCGAGGGAAAUCAAGUACCGAAGCGGUCGAUCCCAUACUGGCGAGAAAAACCCCUAGUGAGGCUUUCAGGUGCCCGUACCGCAAACCGACACAGGUAGGCAAGGAGAGAAUCCUGAGGCGCGCGAGAGAACCCUCGUUAAGGAACUCGGCAAAGUGACCCCGUAACUUCGGGAGAAGGGGUGCCCUGAUAGGGUGAGGAAGACCUGCUCUUCCGAGCCCGAGAGGGUUGCAGAGAAGAGGCCCAAGCGACUGUUUACCAAAAACACAGGUCCCUGCCAAAGCGAAAGCUGACGUAUAGGGGCUGACGCCUGCCCGGUGCUGGAAGGUUAAGGGGAAGGGUUAUCCAGCACUCAACUCUGCUUACCGAAAGGAGACAAUGACCCAGCACUCAACUCUGAUGAUCAGCUUUGAUUUAAGCCCCACAGUUGGUCUUUGGAGUUGAGUGCUGGGCAACGAAGGUAAGAACCGUUCCACAAGAAAUCAGAACUGGAAACUCGUAUAUUACGAAGCGUACAGUUCCCCGGAAGAUGCAAAGGAGCGGGAAUACCGGCUGAAACAUCACGGUCAGGCUAUCCGCCGGUUAAAGCAGCGGAUAGCAA
This 827-nucleotide ribosomal RNA is filed under the name Candidatus Acetothermia bacterium. Its description in RNAcentral is "partial 23S ribosomal RNA". It matches the Rfam family "Bacterial large subunit ribosomal RNA", at positions 1347 to 1969 of the family's 2925-position model. Lineage: Bacteria; Candidatus Bipolaricaulota. The record is from RNAcentral.